GACGAACGCUGGCGGCGUGCUUAACACAUGCAAGUCGAACGGAAAGGCCCUGCUUUUGUGGGGUGCUCGAGUGGCGAACGGGUGAGUAACACGUGAGUAACCUGCCCUUGACUUUGGGAUAACUUCAGGAAACUGGGGCUAAUACCGGAUAGGAGCUCCUGCUGCAUGGUGGGGGUUGGAAAGUUUCGGCGGUUGGGGAUGGACUCGCGGCUUAUCAGCUUGUUGGUGGGGUAGGGGCUUACCAAGGCUUUGACGGGUAGCCGGCCUGAGAGGGUGACCGGCCACCUUGCGACUGCGGUACGGCCCAGACUGCUACGGGAGGCAGCGGUGGGGAACAUUGCACAAUGGGCGGGAGCCUGAUGCAGCAACGCCGCGUGCGGGAUGACGGCCUUCGGGUUGUAAACCGCUUUCGCCUGUGACGAAGCGUGAGUGACGGUAAUGGGUAAAGAAGCACCGGCUAACUACGUG
This 468-nucleotide ribosomal RNA is filed under the name uncultured bacterium. Its description in RNAcentral is "partial 16S ribosomal RNA". It matches the Rfam family "Bacterial small subunit ribosomal RNA", at positions 28 to 507 of the family's 1533-position model. The record is from RNAcentral.